GAUCAUGGCUCAGGAUGAACGCUAGCUACAGGCUUAACACAUGCAAGUCGAGGGGCAGCAUGAACUUAGCUUGCUAAGUUUGAUGGCGACCGGCGCACGGGUGAGUAACACGUAUCCAACCUGCCGAUGACUCGGGGAUAGCCUUUCGAAAGAAAAGAAUUAAUACCCGACUGGCAUAGUUCUUCCGCAUGGUGGGAACUAUUAAAGAAAUUUCGGUUCGAUCGAUGGGGAGUGCGUUCCCUACUUAGG
This 249-nucleotide ribosomal RNA is filed under the name uncultured bacterium. Its description in RNAcentral is "partial 16S ribosomal RNA". It matches the Rfam family "Bacterial small subunit ribosomal RNA", at positions 15 to 249 of the family's 1533-position model. The record is from RNAcentral.